ACAACUGGUGCAACUACUGGAUCCCUUACUUAGUUGCAACAGGGGUGCUUGAAACACCUGUUUUGAAUAUUUGUACUGCUGUGAGGGAUUCUAUUCAGCGGGUUGAAUAAUUUUGAGGUUGAAGAAAUCAUAUGUUGAAUUUUGAGAAACCACUUGACACAAUUGCUUUUGUUUGAUUUGUAAAUUUGCAAACAGCAUAACGUCUGUAAAUUUUGAC
Molecule: non-coding RNA, 217 nt
Organism: Pelobates cultripes (western spadefoot toad)
Lineage: Eukaryota; Metazoa; Chordata; Amphibia; Anura; Pelobatidae
Source: the annotation of a GenBank genome assembly